This 21-nucleotide small nuclear RNA is filed under the name Arabidopsis thaliana (thale cress). RNAcentral describes it as "snRNA_13890". The record is from RNAcentral. Lineage: Eukaryota; Viridiplantae; Streptophyta; Magnoliopsida; Brassicales; Brassicaceae.
GCUACUAGGUCUUAAGCUUCU